Molecule: long non-coding RNA, 2806 nt
Organism: Trichomycterus rosablanca
Lineage: Eukaryota; Metazoa; Chordata; Actinopteri; Siluriformes; Trichomycteridae
Exons: 2
Source: RefSeq, a predicted model, not a curated record
CUGGUUAACAGUUUUGUCGCUGCCACCUUAACCUUUCGGACUCGACCAGAAUAACUAGUCAUCGAGGACGGGGUGCUGUAACACACCAGUGAUGCUGUUUGGUUUACAACCGUUGACAUCCAGAUCAGAAUCUGCUGCAGAUAAAUGUUUGGUUGCAUCUCCCGUGAGUGAACAGUUCAUUGCCUUUCCAAGAGCCACUUCCAGUUCCUCGGUAUUUAAAAAGAAUUUGGGACAUGUGCAUUGUUAUUAAGCAGGACAAAUAAAGGAUCCUAAAGUUGUCCAAGUGUUGAAAAGGUAACGGGUAUCUUGAGCUGUAAGAAUAAUUAAAAUUUGGUGUUAGGAUAUUGUUCAUCUGUUUUGGACCAGUUGUUUCAGAUUUGUGCCACAAUGCCGCGGUCCAAAGAAAUUUCAGAAGACAUGCGCAGAAAGGUCAUCGAGAUUCACCAGUCUGGCAAAGGCUACAAACUUAUUGCCAAAGCUUUGGGUCUCCAGAAGUCUACGAUCCGAUCCAUUGUGCACAAAUGGAAACGGUACGGGACAGUCUUGACCCUUCCCAGAAGUGGCCGCCCACCAAAAAUCUCUCCAACGGCAAGGCGAGAAAUCAUCCAGGAAGCCAUUAAAAACCCCUGUAUGACCGCCAGGGACUUGCAGGCCACGCUUGCUUCAUCAAACAUCCACGUUUGUGAUUCCACCAUUAGAAGAAUACUGGACGUGUAUUUAAGACCAUCUUUGAUUUAUGUCGAGGGCGGUAUGGGGUUGCCGGUGUCACAUUCAGUAAAGGAACCCAACGUUACGGCUACAGCUGGAUCAAAUCAAGAUGUAAAGCUGGAAGGGAUUAGUGACUCUGAAAGUAAGACUGAUCAUACUGAUGCCAGGCCAGAUAAUGGUGACAGAAACGAAGCCGGUUUGCACACGGAUAGUGGUGGACAGAAUAAGAAGCGUAAUGAUUAUGGACAUAACAGUAAAGCUAAUGAUGUAAAAGACAUUUAUAAACUCGACCACACGGGUGAGCCUGAUGUUGGUUCUGUCACCGGUUUUAAGGGUGAUGUCUGUGACUACAACGGUAAAGAUACGAGUAAGGGGAUUAAAAUCAUGACACUAAAUACGCUUUAUUGAGAACAUGCUAAUGUGUAGCAUGUGAGGACCAUGACGAAAAUAGAAAUGUAUUUAUUAAAGUUAAUAAAAUCACCAGUUUAUUAUUACAACCAAUUCAGGCAAAAAUAAAACUGUAAAACCAAUCAGAAUGUUACAUUAUCUGACCUUAGAAUGAACUAAUUAGCUAAAGAUUAGUGUUGGUUAAUGUAAGAUUAUGAACAGGUUAAUAAAACAUACUCCCUUUCAUGUAUUCAAAAUAGGAAACAGCAUUUUGGCACAAUUUGCAAUGCAGCCUUUUAUCCACAGUUAAAAUUUAUAAAGUUAUUUGAGAAUGAAUUUGAACUUUUUUAUUCUGAGAAUAUUUUAUUGGCCAAAAUUAACACCUACAUGUACAUUAAAUGUAGAACUUGCAUAGUUUGUUGCCUGUAUGGCUCUAUUGCCAGCCUUCUGGAGAAGUUAGCUAAGCUAACCUGACAUCCAUAAAUAGAUAGCACAAAGGUAAUUCCUUAAAUUCAUUAAAUCCAACUUUGUGAGUCACUGUUGACUGUUAAUACAUUUUCAUUUAAACAUUUAUAGUCAGGUUGGGUAGUAUUGUACAAAAUAUGUGUAACUACACUGCUAAGCUUAGGAUCUACUUUUUUUUUACAAUGUUAAGCACCUCUAAGGUUAACACAACAAUGUGGUUAGUAUUGUUUGUCAGUGAUAUUGAUUAGGCCAGGUUCACCAGGUUUUGCAUGCUGAUUUUAUUCAGAACAGAAGCAAAACUGUUGAAUUUUUGUGAACCGAAAUAUGGCUUUGAUUGGAAUGUAAAUAACAUGGCUCUCUCUACUGCUAGCUGGUAGUUUACACCAAACUCCACAUUAAACAGGUGGUUGUUUUACAUCUAAAUGCUCAUAACUAUCUCAGAAAAAUACCAAAAAUGUCAUUAGUUCUGUCAUUGAUGAUUAUAGACUGUUAUAUCAGUGAUAUCCUAGUGUAGCAUUAAAAGAUUUUUGUUUGUAGCAUCUUUAGCGUUCUACUUUAAGUGCAUGUGUAAUUAUUGAAAGAUUUGGAGGAAAAAUGUUUACUUGAAAUUUUUCUUUCUCUGAUUUUUUCUUUCUCUCUUUUCUGAUGGUUUAAUCGAUUUAUUUGGUAGUUUCAGUGUUAAAAGUAUUUAAAUGUGCGAGUUUUUUGUGUAAGACAAAUCUCUGAAGACUGUUGCCUUAUGUUUUGUUGUUCAGAAGGAGUAAAAUCGCAGGUUUGGGACUAAACAAUUGUUAUAGUUAUUUGUUAUGGCCUUUCAGAUCUGGAUCGGUCAGUGUUUUACAAUACAUAGUCCGGUCUUAAAUAUAAAUAUUGUGUAUUUGUUGUUCUUGAAUGUACUGACCACUGAGGUGAAGUAACAGUAACUGACUUCUGUUUCUAAAGCAGAAAUAGAUUAAUGCUUCUUUCUAUUCAUAUACAACAUGCUAAUGUUCUGCACAUCAGUAAAGUGUUUUUUUUCUUAUGCAUAUAAAACAGCAAGUUUUGUUCCGUCUUGUUUAGUGUGUAUGUUUUACUUUUACAUAUAUGCUGGUAAAAAUGACUGAUCCUGGAUCGGGUCAUCUAGAUGAUCAUAAUCUUUAAUAAGUAUAUUUCUUUUAUAGUUUUUGUGGUUUGUUAAAAAAAACUGCUAAUGGUAUCCACAGUUAAGUUUAUGUUAUAAAGAGAACAAUAAAAUUCUAAAAUCAUU